GAAAUGCGAUAAGUAAUGUGAAUUGCAGAAUUUAGUGAAUCAUCGAAUCUUUGAACGCACAUUGCACCUUUUGGUACUCCUUAAGGUAUGUCUGUUCGAGCGCCGUUUUAAACCUAAGACAUUGUCUUGUGAUGACAGAACCAAAUAUGGUCUGUCCAAAAGCAUCGGCGUUAGCUAUUGCCCGAACCACAGCGAAAAUGUGAGCAAGGCAAGAAGAUGAUAGCCAAAUUGAUAACUAAAACAUGGCCUCGGAUCAGAUAGGGAUACCCGCUGAACUUAA
RNAcentral lists this unclassified non-coding RNA (280 nucleotides) under uncultured Ascomycota. Its description in RNAcentral is "sequence contains ITS1". The stretch from base 1 to 105 matches the Rfam family "5.8S ribosomal RNA", at positions 50 to 154 of the family's 154-position model. Lineage: Eukaryota; Fungi; Ascomycota. The record is from RNAcentral.